Homalodisca vitripennis (glassy-winged sharpshooter) is the source of this 969-nucleotide long non-coding RNA. RefSeq lists it as uncharacterized. NCBI's taxonomy places the organism in Eukaryota, Metazoa, Arthropoda, Insecta, Hemiptera, Cicadellidae. The transcript is spliced from 3 exons. The record is from RefSeq and is a predicted model, not a curated record.
AACUUCCAUCUUCAGCUUCAGAUUGCUGAGGACUGUUUGUCUUCGCGUAAUCUGAUAUAAAUAUGGAAAGUGUUAAGAAAUCGUCAAAUUAGUAUUGUUCAAUAUGUAAUGUUUUAUUUAAUAUCGUCUUACUCUGGUAUGUUACGUUGUAACAUCAGCACAGUUAAUGCUGCAUUUUGUAUUUAUUAUUACUGUAUAGGAAAAAGUGUGUAAUAGGUUAUGUUUGAAAUACAUGAAUAUGCAAGAACAAGGCUUAACCUCUAAUCAGAGAAAGUUCAAUAUGUGAAAGUUCCUCGAAAGAUUAUCCAGUUAUGAGAAACCUACACUUCCUCGAUCAAUCCAUAUACGUAUAAUGCAUUUUUUACUCUGUUUCCCUUUUUCUCGUCUCAAAAUUCUCUAAAGAAAAUUUCUUGGUUAUCAGGCUAGGCCUAUAACUGAAACAAAUCAGUGCAGUAUUUUGUUGCGGUAAAAGUAAAAUAUUUUGACAAUAUGAAAUUCAAUUUGAAACCAGAAAACUGCAAUCUCUCUGUUCAAAGGUUAUCUGUGUGUAUUCCGUUAACAGUGUAUUUAUUUUUUAUUUUUCUACUGAACUUUACAUCAGUACCACUAAGAUCAUCUGAAAGGAAGACUUUAGAACAGUUCUUUAAAAGCGCUGUUGUGCAAAACAAGGAUAAAAGUGUAGUACUUAGUGUAAAUGUGUUGGAUAAAGAAAGUAUAAAGAGAAAUUUCAAUAGUGAAGACAAAAAGAACAUGCCUCCAACUGAACUUCUUGCUUCAAUAUUUUUUAAGGUUGACAAAAAUGGAGAUAAACUGUUGACGAUAGACGAGCUUUCCGAGUACAUUCAUCUGGAGACGCAAAAAACAUAUAAAUCAAGGAAUUCAAGAAAAUUAUGGACUAUUUAUGUCGAUUGACAGAGAUCCAGCUAAUGGUGUUGUGUCAUGGACAGAGUACCACAAGUAUUUCCUUCU